Molecule: ribosomal RNA, 304 nt
Filed under: uncultured bacterium
Lineage: Bacteria
Description: bacterial SSU rRNA
Rfam family: Bacterial small subunit ribosomal RNA
Source: RNAcentral
AACGAACGCUGGCGGCAUGCCUAACACAUGCAAGUCGAACGAGACCUUCGGGUCUAGUGGCGCACGGGUGCGUAACGCGUGGGAAUCUGCCCUUAGGUUCGGAAUAACUUCGGGAAACUGAAGCUAAUACCGGGAUAAAUUGGUCUUCGGACCAAAAGAUUUAUCGCCUUUAGAUGGGCCCGCGUUGGAUUAGCUAGUUGGUGGGGUAAAGGCCUACCAAGGCGACGAUCCAUAGCUGGUCUGAGAGGAUGAUCAGCCACACUGGGACUGAGACACGGCCCAGACUCCUACGGGAGGCAGCAGU